GAAUGCAUCAAGCUGUUGUUCUUGGAUCUCCAUUUUACUUGGAUAACUGUGGUAAUUCUAGAGCUAAUACAUGCGACUAAGCGCCGAACUCACGUGACGCGUGCAUUUAUUAGAACAAAACCAUCCGGCUUCGGCCGUUCUUUGGUGACUCUGAAUAACUCAGCUGAUCACACGGUCUAGUACCGGUGACGUAUCUUUCAAGUGUCUACCUUAUCAACUUUCGAUGGUAGUUUAUGUGCCUACCAUGGUUGUAACGGGUAACGGAGAAUCAGGGUUUGACUCCGGAGAGGGAGCCUGAGAAACGGCUACCACUUCUAAGGAAGGCAGCAGGCGCGCAAAUUACCCAUUCUCGGCAUGAGGAGGUAGUGACGAAAAAUACCGAGGCGAUGCCCAUUCGGGUGUCGUCAUUGGAAUGAGAAAAAUAUAAAUCUUUUAACGAGGAUCUAGUGGAGGGCAAGUCUGGUGCCAGCAGCCGCGGUAAUUCCAGCUCCGCAAGUGUAUAUCUAUGCUGCUGCGGUUAAAAAGCUCGUAGUUUGAUUCGCGUACUUAGCACGCAGUGUGGCCUGACGGCUACUACUGUGAUGCGGUACAUUAUCGUUGGUUUGUCGUUGAUGCUCUUAAUCGGGUGUUAGCGGCUGCUGACAAGUUUACUUUGAACAAAUUAAAGUGCUCAAUACAGGCGUUUCGCUUGUAUAGUUCUGCAUGGAAUAAUAGAAUAGGACUUACGUUCUAUUUUGUUGGUUUUCGGAACGAAAGUAAUGAUUAAGAGGGACAGACGGGGGCAUUCGUACUGCGACGUUAGAGGUGAAAUUNNNGGAUCGUCGCAAGACGGACUACUGCGAAAGCAUUUGCCAAGAAUGUUUCAUUAAUCAAGAACGAAGUUAUGGGUUCGAAGGCGAUCAGAUACCGCC
This 911-nucleotide ribosomal RNA is filed under the name Monhysteridae sp. VP-2019. Its description in RNAcentral is "SSU rRNA". It matches the Rfam family "Eukaryotic small subunit ribosomal RNA", at positions 113 to 1019 of the family's 1831-position model. Lineage: Eukaryota; Metazoa; Nematoda; Chromadorea; Monhysterida; Monhysteridae. The record is from RNAcentral.